Unclassified non-coding RNA from Macaca fascicularis (crab-eating macaque), 148 nucleotides. It matches the Rfam family "Metazoan signal recognition particle RNA". From Rfam's summary of the family: The signal recognition particle (SRP) is a universally conserved ribonucleoprotein. It is involved in the co-translational targeting of proteins to membranes. The eukaryotic SRP consists of a 300-nucleotide 7S RNA and six proteins: SRPs 72, 68, 54, 19, 14, and 9. NCBI's taxonomy places the organism in Eukaryota, Metazoa, Chordata, Mammalia, Primates, Cercopithecidae. The record is from Ensembl.
GCCAGGCAUGGUGGCACAUGCCUGUAAUCCCAGCUACUCGGGAGGCUGAGGCAGAAGAAUUGCUUGAGCCCAGGAGACGGAGGUGGCAGUGAGCCAAGAUCGUGCCACUGCACCCCAGCCUGGCCGACAGAGUGAGACUCUGUCUCCU